GAUUCUGGCUCAGGAUGAACGCUGGCGGCGUGCUUAACACAUGCAAGUCGAACGGAGAUAUGCGCUGAUUGAAGCUUCGGCAGAUUCUGCAUAUCUUAGUGGCGGACGGGUGAGUAACGCGUGGGUAACCUGCCUUAUACCGGGGGAUAACACUUAGAAAUAGGUGCUAAUACCGCAUAAGCGCACGACACCGCAUGGUGAUGUGUGAAAAACUCCGGUGGUAUAAGAUGGACCCGCGUCUGAUUAGUUAGUUGGUGAGGUAACGGCCCACCAAGACGACGAUCAGUAGCCGGCCUGAGAGGGUGAACGGCCACAUUGGGACUGAGACACGGCCCAAACUCCUACGGGAGGCAGCAGUGGGGAAUAUUGGACAAUGGGGGAAACCCUGAUCCAGCCGACGCCGCGUGAGUGAAGAAGUAUUUCGGUAUGUAAAGCUCUAUCAGCAGGGAAGAUAAUGACGGUACCUGACUAAGAAGCCCCGGCUAACUACGUGCCAGCAGCAGC
This 504-nucleotide ribosomal RNA is filed under the name uncultured bacterium. RNAcentral's name for it is "bacterial SSU rRNA". It matches the Rfam family "Bacterial small subunit ribosomal RNA", at positions 15 to 518 of the family's 1533-position model. The record is from RNAcentral.